CCCAAGAGAAUCAUAGGAAUCCAAGACCCACCCACAGGUGGUCCAAGAAAAGCCCAAAGCCUGGGAGGAGGACAGUCCACAUGACCAGCCAGAUGCUGCCUUGCCUGCCUCAGAGGAACUGCCCUUACCAUGUCUAACAGGAAGAACUUCUAGGAAACCACCAAACUGCUAUAAAAAAGGGGGCCAACCACUGUGCAACCACUACAUAGAAGUUACGUGACUCACCUUUCAUUCAGUACCUCCCUUCAAGGAAAGCCCUGUCUCUGGUCCUUGGGCUGGGAUCACACAGAGUUCUUGGGAUGACCCUGGCUCUCCCGCGCCAGCCGCCCUGCUGCCAA
This 338-nucleotide long non-coding RNA is filed under the name Papio anubis (olive baboon). Its description in RNAcentral is "lncRNA (ENSPANG00000048638.1)". The record is from RNAcentral. Lineage: Eukaryota; Metazoa; Chordata; Mammalia; Primates; Cercopithecidae.